AACCUUGUAGUGAAGUUCACGACAGAUUGCAAAUCUGUAAAUACACUUUAGUUAGUGUUUUGGUUU
RNAcentral lists this transfer RNA (66 nucleotides) under Nilssonia nigricans. RNAcentral describes it as "tRNA-Cys". Lineage: Eukaryota; Metazoa; Chordata; Testudines; Trionychidae. The record is from RNAcentral.